CUUCCCUCAACCCUCUAUUUUUUUUAAAUCCUGCAUUGAAGUGCAUAAAUAUAUACUAGAAUCAGAAUCUAAAAUCCAACUGAAAGAAGAGAAAAUCGUUAGAUUAGUUUCUAUAAUGAGCAAGUCAAACAUAUCUUCCGAAAGUAAGUCCUUCUUGUUCUUUAGGCUUGUCAGAAUAGAGCCCCUUGAACUCUUCAAGAUCCCUUCAACUAUCACCAACAUAUUAAGUAAUUUGUACAGGAUGCUAUCAAUCUUAUUCAUAUGUAGUUUACAAUAAACUGUCUAUACAAAUCAGAAAGAGAUUGCAGGAUCAGAUCCACCUGCAAAUUCUUGUCUAUGGUCAUAUCGAGCUUCUGAAGCUCCUCGAUGUUCUUGAUCAUUGUCAAACAAUGAUCAUGGACCGACUGUCCAUCACGUAUUUUCACUUUAAAGAGUCAUUUGAAAACUUCAAAGUAAGCUGUGUGACUCUAAUCAUCAUACAACUCUUGCAGGUGACUUAGCAUAUCCUUAGCAAUCUUGACAUCUUCAUGCUAAUGCUGAACAUCGUUAGACAUGGAUGCCAUGAUGUAGCGUCUAAUCUGAUUAUCAUCAUCCAUCUACUUCUCAAGUGCAGCUUGUUAAUCAGGGGAUGGAUGAGUCAACAACACAGAGAUUUUCUAAUCAAGAAUAUAGGUCAAUUUCUCAGAAUUGAGAACUAUUCUCAAGUUUCUAAGUCAAUCCUUAUAAUUAGUUUCGAUCAACCUGUUGGUCUUUAGGAUACAAGCUAGUGGAUUGGAAGUCGAUAUGACUAACUGUCGAGAGUAAAAUUUUUUAGUUAGAUAUUUAUACUUGAUUUUAAUUUAUUUUAAAAUUUUUAAAAAUAAAUACUAUUCUCACUAUUUUUUUGAGUCUCUCACACUCCUCGGAUGGAGAAAUAGAAAUCACUAUACGAUUAGGAUUUCAAGUAGAUACUGCGUUCCCACUGAUCUACGCACACCUCACCAAAUAAUUAUUGAUAACAUGAAACCAAUGAGUGGACAACACUGAGUCUAUUGCUUCACUAAGCAAGAUGGAGCGACAUCGAUCUCUAAGUCCUAUAGCCUCACCUAACAGUUAUUGGUAUAUUUCUUAGUUAAGUCAGAUCCAUCAUUCACCAAUGGGUGCAAAGCCGUCAUUGAGUCUUUUAUCUAAUAGUUAUUGGAUCCAAUCCUAUCUUUAUCCUAAAACAUCUAAUGCUAAGAGAGUGGGGCAUGUGCUAGGGAGAAGGAGAAUCCCAGUAGAUCGGGACUUUUUCUUUUAGGUGCAUGGUUAAUUCCUAACUAAUUAGGAAUUUGGUUGCAUCCAAGAAAAGAAUAAAUUCUGGUCUAACUAAAAAUUCAAUUAAAUCCUAAUCCAAUUAGAAAAUUAAUUGAACCAAGUUCAAAUCAAAUAAGGAAUUAGUCUCCCUUACAAUUGGUUAUCUUAUAACUCAAUUAGACUUGAUCUAAUCCAACCUAAAUCAAAUCAAAUCGAAU
This 1493-nucleotide long non-coding RNA is filed under the name Elaeis guineensis (African oil palm). Its description in RNAcentral is "long non-coding RNA (EGUI_LNC004705)". Lineage: Eukaryota; Viridiplantae; Streptophyta; Magnoliopsida; Arecales; Arecaceae. The record is from RNAcentral.